This 590-nucleotide small RNA is filed under the name Pongo abelii (Sumatran orangutan). Its description in RNAcentral is "retained intron". Lineage: Eukaryota; Metazoa; Chordata; Mammalia; Primates; Hominidae. The record is from RNAcentral.
UGUAACCUGAUUUCCUAUUUCCUUCCUCCCAUUCAUUCUUUGACUGGUCUCCUUGUUGAAAAGAAUGGCCUCCCGUCACCAGAACGGUCAUAUGUGUUCAAUGGUGACUUUGUGGAUCGAGGCAAGGAUUCAGUAGAGAUCCUGAUGAUUCUUUUUGCCUUCAUGCUGGUUUACCCCAAAGAGUUCCACCUUAACAGAGGAAACCAUGAGGACCAUAUGGUGAACUUACGAUAUGGCUUCACCAAGGAAGUGAUGAAUAAAUACAAGAUACACGGGAAGGAAAUACUAAGAACCCUGCAAGAUGUUUUCUGUUGGCUUCCACUGGCCACUCUGAUAGAUGAGAAAGUUCUAAUUCUUCAUGGUGGGGUGUCAGACAUAACUGAUCUGGAGCUUUUGGACAAAAUAGAGAGGAGCAAGGUAGUGGUUAAUGAAAUAAUACAAAUUUCACCAUAAUGCCCAGUUUCAUUGCCAAUAUAAAUGUCAUCUUACAUGCUGACUGCAGUCAACUGAUUAUGGCUGUUAAGAGUGUGGAGGCCGUUAGGAGUAUGGAGGCUGGGCACAGUGUCUCACACCUAUAAUCUCAGCACUUU